This 111-nucleotide small RNA is filed under the name Nereida ignava. RNAcentral's name for it is "Methylobacterium-1 RNA". It matches the Rfam family "Methylobacterium-1 RNA". The record is from Rfam by way of RNAcentral. Lineage: Bacteria; Pseudomonadati; Pseudomonadota; Alphaproteobacteria; Rhodobacterales; Roseobacteraceae.
UAAGGUGGAAGGGCUGUUAAAAUAUUCACACCACGAUGAGGGCAAUGCGACACUGCAACCCUCAAUGAUUGAUCAAAGUCGUUCCAUUGGCUGAUCGAUUAUACCGCUGGU